Molecule: long non-coding RNA, 706 nt
Organism: Acanthopagrus latus (yellowfin seabream)
Lineage: Eukaryota; Metazoa; Chordata; Actinopteri; Spariformes; Sparidae
Exons: 4
Source: RefSeq, a predicted model, not a curated record
AUGACUGAAACAGAAGAAAGCAAACAAAACACUGAAAGUGAAAGAGCUGCUGUGUUUUCUAACAUGUCGGAGGAAGUUCAAGGGACUUUCCGUUUACUUCAGCUGUGAAGAAAGUCUGCCGUCGUCCCUGCAGACACUCUGACUUCACUCUGUUCAGAGCAGAGCUGUGAGCAACUGUGACCACUCGAGCUACUCAAGCUGGCGCGGGUGCGAGUGUUUUUCCACUGCACAGCACGGCAAGGUUAAAGAAGCAGUUUGCCUCGAUGACGCGUUGGAGGUGCAUGAACGUCUAACGUCUCCCUGCGGCUGUUUCUUCUUGAACUAUAACACCCUGAGCCACUCACCAGUUCGUACAUGAAAUCUGGGUCAGAGCUGGUGGCGAGCAGCUCAGUGCUGGUCAGGGCCUGGUCAGCAAACGAGUAGUUCUGAAAGGCGUCCCCAAAGGGAGGCUCCAUCCCACUGACGCUGGGCUGCAACACAACAGAACACCGAGGGGGUGAAACGGAAGUAAACAACAUCAUCAUCAUCAUCAUCACCACCAAAGGCAGAAUAUCAUGUUUAAUUGACGAUUUCAGAUGUCAGACACUGUCCAUUCGUCCCGGCCUGUUUGGAGGACGCCCGUCCACCUGUGUGUCGCUCACAGUCCAGUUCCCCUCGUUCUGUCGUCCCUCUUACCUGAGGCAUCGCCAGGCACAGCUUAGAGGUC